GAUGAACGCUAGCGGCAGGCCUAAUACAUGCAAGUCGAGGGGUAUGGGUUGCUUGCAACCCAGAGACCGGCGCACGGGUGCGUAACGCGUAUGCAAUCUACCUUAAUCAGGGGGAUAGCCCGGAGAAAUCCGGAUUAACACCGCAUAACAUUGAGUUGUGGCAUCACAGUUCAAUCAAAUAUUUAUAGGAUUAAGAUGAGCAUGCGUGACAUUAGUUAGUUGGUGAGGUAACGGCUCACCAAGACCACGAUGUCUAGGGGAUCUGAGAGGAUGACCCCCCACACUGGUACGGAGACACGGACCAGACUCCUACGGGAGGCAGCAGUAAGGAAUAUUGGUCAAUGGGCGCAAGCCUGAACCAGCCAUGCCGCGUGCAGGAAGACGGCCCUAUGGGUUGUAAACUGCUUUUGUACCGGAAUAAACCUUCUCUUGCGAGAGAAGCUGAACGUACGGUAAGAAUAAGGAUCGGCUAACUCCGUG
This 480-nucleotide ribosomal RNA is filed under the name uncultured bacterium. RNAcentral describes it as "partial 16S ribosomal RNA". It matches the Rfam family "Bacterial small subunit ribosomal RNA", at positions 28 to 507 of the family's 1533-position model. The record is from RNAcentral.